UCCCAUCAUUCCCACAUAGCGUACGCCUAGUCUCCUUGAAAUCAGGACAUCUUGAGGUAAAAUACAAGGGGCCAUUUUGAAUUUCUAAAGUUCAGCGUCCCACAUGGAGGAUAUUAACAUUCCAUAAACUUCUUUUUCAUGAUGGACGAGAGGAGGCAGGGUGUGUGUAACAGGAUUGGCACAAUGCUUGCAUUCCUCCAGAGGAACUUUGUUAAACAACCAGGAGGGCCCUCAUAGCCAGAGGGGUUUCAGUGUAUGUGUGUGUCUGUGUGUGUGUGUGUGUGUGUGUGUGUGUGUGUGUGUGUGUGUGUGUGUGUGUGUGUGUGUGUGUGUGUGUGUGUGUGUGUGUGUGGUGGGAGAGUCAGGAUGAGAGCCAAGGCCACCCGUCCCUCCCUCCCUCCCUUCUAGCCUGUGAUCCCUCUCUACAGAGAAAUGGUCGGGACUUUGUGGAAUCCUAACAGUCACAUUGAGAGGAUGCCAGCUUUUCUCUGGCACCAACAGAUUUCUCUCUCUCUAGUGAGUCCUUUGUCCUACAGGGAAGGAUGCAGUUAUGCCAAAUGUACUCGUCAACAAGCGAGGACAGCAUGUGAGCCAUUGGAGAAUGCGGUUUUGAAUAUUUAGAAAACACAUUUAUAUAUGUUUAGAAACAGUUACAUUCCAUCUUGGGUAUUUCAUCUCCUAUAUAACUUGCAAACAAGUUAUAUACUGUAGGACUACCAAUCCACACUUCUGUUUCAUUCACCAAUCACAACAUUGACGUGCUCAAAAUACGUUCCUCAUCCAGAAAUACAGACGUUCUAAUGGGUACAAAAGGAGACUGUCAGGGAGGAAUCUGAGCAGCAAUAACUUGGCUUGAUGACACAGUACGUUUCUAAAGGGCUUUAUAGGCACUAACUCACACGACAACACUGUAGAGUUGAGUCAGUGGGCUCAGAGACACACCUAAACCACCCUGGACUAAUCACACACAUUAACUCUCCAACAGACUGUCACCAAUCGCAUUUACAGUGCAUCUUUCCAACAGGUCCGUCUGAAAAGACACACAAAGCUAGAGAAUUGCAACACUAAUAUUCCUAGACUUAGAGCAACCUGGACCCUCUGGUCAGUCACUGACCGCUCCAGAGGUGAGCCGUCCCUCUGGUCAGUCACUGACCGCUCCAGAGGUGAGCCGUCCCUCUGGUCAGUCACUGACCGCUCCAGAGGUGAGCCGUCCCUCUGGUCAGGUAUUUGGAGACUGGAUGGUCAGGAGGGCCAGAGACCUGGUCCAGGUAUUCGGAGACUGGAUGGUCAGGAGGGCCAGAGUCCUGGUCCAGGUAUUUGGAGACUGGACGGUCAGGAGGGCCAGAGUCCUGGUCCAGGUAUUUGGGGACUGGAUGGUCAGGAGGGCCAGAGUCCUGGUCCAGGUAUUUAGACACCAUCCUGGCAUUUUCCUGCCCAGAAGUCAGCAUCUAGUCUCAGUCUAGUCCAGGAGGGUUAGGGUAAGGUGUCUGGAUGGCCCAGGUAUUUAGAGACGGUCCUAGCGUUGUCCAGGUACCAGGACGGGACCCUGCCCAGCGCUCCUGGAGAACAGAAGGAGGUAUGAGAUGCAGUAUUACAAGACAACACACUGGCCAUACUAACUGAAAAGGAGACUGGUCUUCAGAAAGGCCUUGUGCUGAUACAUCAACAUUAAACGUCUAUGCUGGUUUUUAAUCACCACUCUGAACAUGUCCCAGGUAUUAUUGUUAUUAUAACUUUGAAUGACAUCACUAUUCCUCGCAACACCAGCAUUAGUCUCCUCCAGGGUUGGGGUCGAUUCGAAUGGAAGUCACUCAAUUCAGGAAGUGAUUUGAAGUAAAAAUAAAAAAAAUUAAAAUAAAAAAAACGUUUGAAAUAAAUAGCUUCUCCUUUUCAAUUUAUAGAUGCCCUUUUUUUCCAAUAUUGAAUUGGAAUUUCAGUUUGCUUCCUGAAUUGAUUGAGUAAUGGGUCGUUCAAUGUCAUCUAAAUAAGCCAUGACACCAUCUCAGAAAUUGUUUCUGCAGUUAGAGACAGAUAAGAUAAACAAUAUUUUGAUCUUUGAGAAAUGUAUCUAAUUGAUUGCACCCAAAUAGGCCAUUUUUAUUUAUAAGAUCCAUAUACAGAUAAUAUUCAAUAAUGAUAGUGCUUAACAUCUGAUUUUAACCCAUUUUUUUUUUGACAAUGAGUAAGACAUGAGGAAUCCCACGAUGUGGUCAAAAGCCAUCCACGGAC
RNAcentral lists this long non-coding RNA (2229 nucleotides) under Salmo salar (Atlantic salmon). RNAcentral's name for it is "lncRNA (ENSSSAG00000098320.1)". Lineage: Eukaryota; Metazoa; Chordata; Actinopteri; Salmoniformes; Salmonidae. The record is from RNAcentral.